AGAAAUUUGUUUGGUUCACACAUGAAGCAUAUUCAUAAGAUGCCGCUAUUUUCAUACUAAUUAGGAAUUAAAAAAGGUUCACGUUAAAACUUAAUCUCAAUAACUAGUUUAAUCCCUAUCAAUCUCUGUCCGAUUCAAUAUCAUUAAAAGAGGAGUAGAUCCGAAGCCUUAAGAGCACCAGGGUCACUGUUCCAAUAAAAGUUAGAUCUAAACCUGCUAUUCUGUAUUUAUUACUUUAAGUAACAUAUUAGAAAUCAUGAUUUAGAGUUUAUUUGUGUGUAGACAUUAUGUCUUUAAGGAAAUUAGUUUCUGGGCGUGAGGUAUUUGCAUUAUGACUGAUAAUGUUCCAUAAAAAUGCUAGUUGUUUUUUGUGUUAAAAGUUACCAUGUGUUUUAUCAUUUAUAAAUGUUGUAGAAGUUUUAUCGUGUUUUUUUUCUUUCUAUUUUUUAGUUCUUAUGCAGCAGAGAUUCAUGCCUUAAAUUCUACCAGAAUCAUGACUAUAGUAACCUAUUGCCUUGCAUAGAUAUGUGAAAAGGCAACAUGCUCUCUAGCUGUUAGGAUUCAUUACAAGUUUGAACCUUUAGAUGGAAGCCAUGUUCAUCUACUGUGUGUAUAUAAAAAAUAUCUCAUUUUAGUUCGUGAUUAAAAACUAUUUCCUAAAAAAAAAACCUUAUUUUAACCAUAGAUUGAUUUUGCGUACAUUUUGAGAAAUCAUAUUUUCAAGAAAAGGGUAGUAUCAAUUUGAAAUAUAUGUGUACAUGCAUAAGAUAUUCAUAUAGACUAUUAAAGUAUCUGUUAGAAUCCAUGCUAAUAGACAAACUGUAGCUUCAUAUGAUAUUAUGUUAUGAUUACAUGUGGUUUAUGAUCUUGUCAAAUGACUGGUUUAUGUGGUAGAAUAGCAUUAAGUCUUGUUAAGCAUUUGUCUUAUUUGAGGUAGUGUUAGUUUAAGUUAGAAAGAAAACCUUCAGCUAUUUUGUUGUAUAACUUGUCUAAUAGUUUAUUGUUUACCAGAAGUAUAUUCUAAAACUCUAACCUAUGUCAGUUUAAUCACCUGGAUAUAAAUAUUUAUAUAGGUUUAUGUAGGAACUUACUGUUGAAAACCUUUUCUCUAAGGCUUGAUGCUAAAAGUUUUGUUUGGAAUUCUAUUGUCUGAUAUAAAAAAAACCUGCAAGCCUAAAAGGGUUUUGACAAUAUGAAAGCUAAUUUGGGUUUUACAAAAGAUUUUCUGUGAUUAUUCUACUCAUUUCGAACACUAUAUGUUUAAGACUAUUUUUACUAAUCUUUAUUCUCUAUUUUUUCUUUGCAUGUACACUUCAGAGUGACCUGGAGUCUUAACGCAAGACUCUUCCUACCCACAUAGAGUUAUCACAAACUAUCUUCUUUAAUCGCAUCGGACAAGAAGAAAACAAGCAAAUUUGCUUGGGGUCGCCUAUGGCGGCUUUCAUUAUUCUUUACUUACUUUGUCUAAAUUUCGUUAGUUUAUGUGAUUUGGUUUUCUGUGGAGUUUGUUUUAUUAUUGAUGAUUAAUUUUAUCGUGUAAAUUUAUAACCGUUAUUCUGGCCAAAUAUCUUACUAAUCAAAAAACUUCUAAGAAUUCAAUCACUUGGAAUAUUGGUCCAUUCUCUAGAGACAUAAAGAAGGCAAUGAAACUUUCUUGUGCUUGACAACAUGGCUUUUGAAUUGAAUUUUGCAGAUUUCUUUUUUUUUUCUUUAAAUAAAUAAUUUCAACAACUUCUUGACCUUAAUAAAGUUUGAUGACAAACAAAAAUAGUUUUCUUUUUAUUGCGGUUAGUGACAGGUUUUUAAAAAAAAUGAUCGUUUGCUUCCAAAUUUAUAUAUGCACAUAUUAAUUAGCUUUUAACUUCUUUUGUUUUUUUACUUAAUAAUAUUUUCAAGUUUAAACUACUCAAUUAUAAGUUAUUGUCUUGUAAUACCUUAAAUGUUUUCGAUAAAUUAUUUAAUACUUAUUAACCUAAGUUCGGCCGGUUAAUCGUUAUUAACGGAUUUUAAAAGGUGUUUUAAAACCUUCCUUUUAAAAUAUUUAAAACCCUUAUUUAGAAUCUUUAUGUUAAGACAAUAUGAAAGAGUUUGACUUAAGCUUUAAAAAUAGGUGUCCUAAUUCACCUUAGAAUUAAUUAGGUGGCCACUCUUUUAAGAAUUAAUUCAACCUCAAAAUCGCUAAUAUGUUAUACUCUAAUUUGACCCGUGUUAAAAUGGGGUAUAAUAGCUUCGCGACUCUGCUGGGGAAUUUAGAUUUUAAACCAUAACAAACUUAGGUUAAUAAAAAUGGCUUUUGUAUUUUGUGAAUGUUUUUAUUUGUUGCCUUAUUUGAAAAUGUGCUACUCCUUAUAAAAUGUGAUUACUAUCUUUUAUAAACUGUCAUUCCGUUUUCACUUCCUCCACUUUUGGAAAAUUCACACUGAGCACACACCUAGCGGUUACGCAGUUUGCGGCCGUGCACUUUUUCAAAAAAUACUUUUUAGGGGAAAGUUUGUGGGUAAGUCGAUCAGCGGUGCAAUCGACAGUCACAACUUUCCACUCUCAAGUUGUCUACUUGGGAAAAGACCAGUCUAGAAAACCCACUCUUAGCCGACCUAGGAUAGAGCUAAACCAAAUUCCUUCUUAGGGGCAUGCAUCACGCAACCUUAGGAGGAUUAAUACCCUAGGUGUAUUAAGUCCAUUAGUUAGCCUUAUCCAAAUUUCCAAGCAGGUUUAUAACCCCGAGUGACACCUAUUCAUCCUUUAUGUGCAUUAUUUGAAAGAUAAACACACUGAUUAUGUGGACCAUUUACUCCUAAAAAGGGAAAACGGGUAGGAUUAACCUUUUCUGUAAUGCAAGAAAUCAUGAAUCAAGUUGUUUACCCAAAGAUUGGCAUGGUGUUGGACAUCCCUCCCAAACUAAAGGCAUGGUGGAGAAACUUAGGAGAGAAUGCACAGUCCAAAGUAUGAAAGAAGCUGGGUCACCUACCGUUACUUAUAGAAGUCACAUCAUGUAGGGAAAUAAUUGAAGCAUCAGUCACCUUUUGGGAUGAAGAAAGAGCCGUAUUCAGAUUUGGGGAAAAUGAGAUGACACCAUUGUUAGAAGAGAUUGGAGGCUUCAAUUAAUAGAGAAUGUGAGUUUGUUAUGGAAAGGCAGACAUUCUUGGCAAAGCGCUGGCAUGAUUAUUCCAAAAAAUCCCUCAACAAAAGAGUUCCUUGAAAAGUUUAGUUUUGAGAAAGAAAUUGGGCUAGAGCAUUUGAAAGAAUCCAAGAUACCCCUAGACUAUCUGUUCGACAUCUUUGGAUGUUCAGAUGCUUUUCUACGACAUCGAGAGGUGUUCUCCUCACAUGCUUCUUGGAGUGAAAAGAGGGUAUUCGUUUUUUUGGUUUGUUUCCUCGGGCUCCUAGUAUUUCCCCGAGGAGCAAAACAAGAGAUUCACAACCGACUUGUCAUGGUUGCUGAUGCAUUAUUUAAUGGCAUUGAUGGAAAGCCAUAUACCAUAGUGUCGAUGGUUGUUGCAGAUAUAUACCGAGCUUUGGUCCUUUGCAAGAAGGGAUUUAAACAUUUUAAGGGAUGUAAUUUGUUGCUGCAGUUGUGGUUUAUAGAGCAUCUCCAAAAGAUUAGUGGAAGCCAAGAGCUUUACAAGCAAAACGGUGCUAAUCAUAUCAUGUCAUACACGAUCCAAGUGGUUUCAUUCAAGCGCCCAAAUAGUGUUAAAGGAUGGGGCAAGUUACUUAACAAGCUGAACGACACCACGAUUCAAUGGAUGUUUUCUUGGUAUCCUUCUGAGAAUUUUGUAAUUCGUGGAAAAAUGCUACCUUACUUGGUUCUCAUCGGGCUUCGAGGACUUCAACCAUAUGCUCCAUUACGAGUUAUGAGACAAGCCGGAAGAACGCAAGUCAUACAACAAGUUGAUAACAUGGAUCAUUAUCGAUUUGACUAUGAUAAUGAUAAGAUUCCUUUUGCGAAGGAAAUUCUCAGGAUGAGGAGAAACAAGAGAGCUAUGGUCAAGGAUAUAAUUGCACCAGAUAGGUACCAAGCUGGAUGUGACACUUUUUACUUAGAAUGGUUACAUGCCAACCAUGAAGGUUCUGUCAAAAGAGGGAUUAAUAUGGGAGGCCGAAUCAAAAAUAAGGUAGCCGAAGCUGAAAUCAAGUACCGUUGGUUGAAAAGAAGGGUGUCUGAGUCCAAAUCAAACUACAAGGAGCAGUAUGAGAAGGACAACAAAGAGAUUGAAAUGUUGAGACAAUGAGAGGAUAUAUAGAAGAAACAAAUAGAAAUGUGGAAACAACAAGUUGUGGAAAUGGAGCAAGGACUCAAAGAUUUGGAUGGAGACCUCAAGAAGCAAUUCACAAAAUGCUAUUGCCAAGGACUCGAGGAAGGAGGAAAGUUAGCCAUGGUUUACCUUGUGAAGAAUCGCCAGAAAAUUGACGAGGCAAUAAGAGCAACGAAGAGGCUAAGAGGCAAUGAAGAACCAUCCUCAGUCAAUUAGAUUAGAACUAUGUUGUAAUCUUUAUUUCAAUUAAGGGGCAAUGAAGAACCAUCCUCAAUCAAUUAGAUUAGAACUAUGUUGUAAUUUUUAUUUCAAUUAAGGCUAUGCCAUUGGAAUCGUUUUAGACUAAGGCAAUGUUGGUAUUUCUCUUUUCAUUUAUGUACUAAGACUCAAAUCAUCAAUGAAAGUUUAUUUUAGGGUAUUUAAUUAAGGAGAAAUGGAAUGAUAUAUAAUGGUGUGUUUAUCUCUCAAAUCUUCUCUAGGCCUACCUCUGGCACAAAGAGGUCCCUUGCAUACUAGGACACGCUUAACAUUGCUUGACUUGUUUGUAUUAUUACGUGAUUUGUUUGUUAUAUGAUAUACUUAUUUUUAAAUCUAAUCACCACUUACUAAUAUUGUCUUUUAUUUCCCUUUUAAAGGUUUUCUAUUUUAUUACUCCCCAAGGUUGAUUUGUGUUUACUGCGAACUAACUAAACACCCAUACUUCUUGAGAUCCAAGGCACAAGCAGCUACCGACAUGGCUGGUUCAAACACAUCUAAUAUGACAGGCUUGGGACUUGUCACCGUUCAACGAGACGAACCCGAGGCUUCAGAAGGAAGGGAGGUUACCCUUCAUGGUGAGCACAUCGCCCAAUUGUCGCAACAAGUGGCUAACUUUCAAGGUGAAAUUGAACGGCUUCGGAACCUUACAAAUCUUUUUAUCAGCCACAACACACCACUUCCCUAAGAUAGGACAAAUGCACCUAUCCCACCGCCUUUCCCAUCUUUUGACUCACCUAUCCCGGAACACCUUCCACCAAACCCUCCACUUCACAACAAUAAGCCAGCAUCCACUAACGCACAUGCUAACCCGCAACAAGCCAACCCAUCGACUUUCAACACAUCACAUGUUUCCCAGCCACCACUAGCCCAAAGCACCCCCGCACCCAAAACCACCAUGUAAUCCAACACAUACCGAUGGCACACGUCGCUAUUCCUAAUAUGCAGCAUGUGACACCGGUAUAUGUAGCGGAAGCACAACCUUUUACUACCCCUAUGCCUCACCAACUUCACUCCGAAGUGUAUCAGUAUCAGGAAGCAGAAAAAGAAGUAAGGGCCAAAACCGAUGAGUAUAUGGCGAAGGAUAUCCGUGAGUUAAAGGAAGCAUUCAAAAGUCUGAAAACCGUUAGGAGUAUGGAAGUUUUAGAGUAUGAGGAUGUAUGUGUUCAUCCCGAUGUCGAUUUACCCGCAGGAUAUAAAGUACCAAAAUUUGACAUGUUUGAUAGAAAAGGAAACCCACGAGCUCAUUUGAUGUUGUAUUGUGAUAAGUUAGUUGGAGUGGGAAAUGAUGAAGCUAUCAGGAUGAAACUUUUUAUAAGGAGUCUUACAGGGGAAGCCCUUGAUUGGUACACAAGUCAAGACCCACAGAAAUGGCGCAACAGGAGUGUCAUGGAGCAAGAUUUCAUGGACAGAUUCAGAUUUAACACCAAGACCAACCCAGAUAGAUUCUAUUUGAUGACGUUGGAGAAGAAAACAACAGAAUACUUUAGAGAGUAUGCCAAAAGAUGGAGGGCAGAAGUAGCAAGAGUCCAACCCCCGAUGGGAGAGGAUGAGAUGACAACUACUUUUAUUCGAUCUCAAACGGAUACGACAUAUUAUGAGAGAUUGAUAAGCAUGUUGGGGAAGAAAUUCUCGGAAGUUGUUAGGAUGGGAGACAUCAUAGAGGAAGGUCUCAAAUCAGGAAAGAUUACAAACUUGGCAGCACUACAAGCAACGAGUAAGGCAACCCAGUCAGGAACUAUUGGAGGAGCAAGUAAGAAGACGGAGAAAGAAGUAUCCACUAUUAUGACCAUCCAAGACCGCAGGCCUAACCAAAUGUUAACCUACCAAAACCCGUUACCUCAACCUUCAUACUAUAGCCCAUACACCCAAACUCCUCAACCUUAUUACCAGCCUUCGCCCAUUCCCUAUCCUGUUUAUAAUGCCUAACCGACCUAUUAUCCACCCCGAGCACCCACAUACCCAAAUCCAUCACAUUACCAACCCACAUAUCCAUCUCAACCCCGUUACCAAUCACAAAACCGCCCAAAUACACCUAGACCUCGCCCAAGCUUUGAAAGAAAACCAGCCAAAACCUAUACACCCCUACCUGAACCUUUAGCCCAGUUGUAUGAAAGGUUGAAAACCGUAGGAGUAUUCCAACCAGUCCCAGGAAGAGUUCCCGACCCCCUCCCAGGAUAGUAUGAUGGGACCAAGCAUUGUGCAUAUCACUCUGGUGUGACUGGACAUGACACACAAAAUUGCCUUACUCUCAAAGAUAAGAUUGAAGAGUUGAUCAAAGCAGGAACCAUUCAGCAUAAGGGAGCUCCCCCGAAUGUGAACAACAACCCUCUUCCAAAUCACGAUGAUACCAGUAUUAACAUGAUAUCUACUGAUGAAGAUUGGAAUUUGGAAGGAACAAUUGUACCAAUUGAAGAUGAGAACAAGGCUAUGUCAUCUGCCUUCAUUGCUCCUGUCAUCACAAUGCAAGUGCGAGCACCAAUUAAGGUGGAAGUACUCCCUCCGAAACCCAGGAUCAUGGCUCUAGUUGCUCAGACACCCUCAUUUGAAACCAAAGCAGUUCCUUGGGACUAUAGUCUGAUGUAAGGAACAAAGGAAAGGCAAAAUUAGUUGUAGAAGCUGCUGCUACAGGUAUGACAAGAUCCGGUCGGUGUUAUGUUCCUAAAGAAGCAUCACGAGGAACUUCAAGUAAGGACAACAACCAGAAGAAGUCCGUGACAGAAGCUGGCGCAGAAGAGUUUUGGAGAAAAAUGCAAUGUAGCGGAUACUCUAUUGUAGACCAACUGAAGAAGACACCAGCUCAAAUUUCCCUCAUGUCAUUAUUGAUGAGUUCCGACAGCCACAGGAAUGCAUUGGUAAAAGUACUCAAUGAAGCAUAUGUGCUAGUCGAGACAACUAGUGAACAUUUGGAAACUAUGGUAGCCCAAAUCCUAGAAGCCCAUAAGAUUUAUUUUCACGAGGAUGAAUUGCCACCUGAAGGUCUAAGUCACAACAAAGCUUUGCAUCUCACUGUCAAGUGCAGGGACAAGUUUAUUUCUAGGGUUUUGAUCGAUAAUGGUUCUGCACUCAAUAUAUGUCCUUUCACUACCCUCAAAGCUUUGGGAAUUGACAUUGGAAAAGUUCGUGAAAGUCAUGUGAAUGUUAGAGCUUUUGAUGGAGCGCAAAUGAGCGCUAUUGCUGAAAUUGACUUAGCAUUACAAAUUGGGCCUAUGGAGUUUAUCAUUGAAUUUCAAGUGUCAAACAUAUCUGCUACUUAUAAUUUGUUGUUGGGAAGGCCAUGGAUUCACAUGGCUGGUGCAGUCCCUUCCACUUUGCACCAGAACGUGAAGUUUGUGUGGAAUCACCAGGAAGUUGUGAUUCAUGGAGAAGCAAGUAAUCCCAUUUACUCCGGGAAUUCAAUCCAUGUCAUUGAAAGUGUGGAGAGGCUGGAUGGAGCCACUUUCCAAAUUGAAGAAAUUAUGACUGCUACUCGAGGUAAAGAGAUAAAGUUGCCAAGUGUGUUCGUGAUGGUGGCAUCAGAAAUGUUGAAGAAUGGUUUCGAGCCUGGUCGAGGACUUGGAGCAAGGUUGCAUGGAAUAGUGGAGCCAAUUCAGUUACCAAGGCAGAACAACACCUUUGGCCUAGGGUACGAACCCACUCCGAAAGAAGUCUCGGAGGCUCGUCUCAAGAAGAAAAGUGACAUUGUCCUGCCACAGCCUAUCCCACCGCUAAGCCGGUCAUUCCCCAAGAUAGUUACUAUUUAUGAACUAGAUGAAGAUGCUGAAGACGACCUCGUUGAAGGAAUCAGGAACCUAUUCAUUGCCGACUGCAAUGUGAUUCUGAAGGAUUGCACUGAGUCGCCAACUAUUUGGGAUGCCGCACUUGGAGAUAUUUUGAACAAUUGGACUUGUACCCCAUCUCCGGUUCACCGGGAGUCUUGGUAGAUGGAUUGUAUUAGUACUUUUUAAACAACACGAUUCAAAAUUGAGGCCUGAAUCGUGCCUAUGAUUUUUAUGUUGUUUGCCUCGAUCUUUUAGAAGCUUAAAUGCAAAAUCUGAUUAUGCUUUUUUGUUUUACAUUUAAUUUUUUGUCUUUAUUAAUUUUCUUUCUUUUUUAUUUUUCAGCAAAUAAAUUAAUAAAAAUGCCUACACCGUGAAUGUGACAUGAAAUGAAACAAUUGAACAAAAUAACAAGCAAGAUCUUGAAGAAUAUGAAGAAGAUCUACCGCCUGCAGAAUUAACUAAAGAACUUGAGCAGUUUGAGAAUAAGUCAAAACCAAAUUUGGAUGAAACAGAGCUUAUAAAUUUGGGGAAUUUAGAGUCUAUAAAAGAAACAAGAAUUAGUGUCCAUUUGACACCAUCAGAAAAGGAGAAAUAUGUGGAUCUUCUGAGAUAAUACGUCGAUGUGUUCGUUUGGUCGUAUGACGACAUGCCUGGUUUAAGCACUAAUAUUGUUUCCCAUAAGUUUCCAACGGAUCCAUCUUGUCCCCUGGUAAAGCAAAAAACAAGAAAAUUCAAAACGGACUUAAGUUUGAAGAUCAAAGAAGAAGUCUCCAAGCAAUUUAAGGCAAAUGUCAUCCGAGUCACGAAGUACCCCACCUGGUUGGCCAAUAUAGUACCAGUACCAAAGAAUGAUGGGAAGAUAAGAAUAUGUGUGGAUUAUCGGGAUCUCAACAAGGCUAGUCCAAAGGAUGAUUUCCCACUUCCGAAUAUUCACAUACUCAUUGAUAAUUGUGCAAAGCAUGAGUUGCAGUCAUUCGUUGAUUGCUUUGCCAGUUACCACCAGAUUUUGAUGGAUGAAGAUGAUGCUGAGAAGAUAACAUUUAUCACACCUUGGGGGGUGUAUUAUUAUCGAGUAAUGCCUUUUGGACUCAAGAAUGCAGGUGCUACAUACAUGAGAGCUAUGAAAACUAUUUUUCAUGACAUAAUCCAUAAAGAGAUUGAGGUCUAUGUGGACGAUGUCAUCAUCAAGUCAUGGAAGAGUUCAGAUCACUUGGUAGACCUGAAGAAGUUCUUUGAUAGGUUGCGGCGAUACAAUUUGAAGCUGAAUCCCGCAAAGUGUGUAUUCGGAGUUCCAGCUGGAAAAUUAUUAGGUUUCAUUGUCAGCAGAAGAGGCAUAGAGUUGGAUCCUUCAAAGAUAAAGGCUAUCCAAGACCUGCCACCUCCAAAGAAUCGUAAGGACGUGAUGAGCUUCCUUGGUUGCCUUAACUACAUUAGUCGUUUCAUAGCCCAAUCAACAGUGAUUUGUGAGAUGAUAUUCAAGAUGCUGAUGAAAGAUACCACUACCAAAUGGACAGAGGAAUGUCAACGAGCUUUUGAUAGGAUCAAGGAAUAUUUAUCUAACCCACCAGUGCUGGUACCUCCGGAACCUGGAAGGUCAUUGUUGUUAUGCAUGUCCGUAUCAUAUAAUGCAUUUGGAUGUGUUUUGGGGCAACAUGAUGAAACUGGAAGGAAGGAACAAGCCAUAUACUACUUGAGCAAGAAGUUCACACCAUAUGAAGUAAGAUAUACUUUGUUGGAAUGUACCUGUUGUGCCUUAACUUGGGUUGCACAAAAUUUGAGGCAUUACUUGUCAGCAUACACCACUUAUCUCAUUUCUAGGAUGGACCCGCUCAAGUACAUCUUUCAGAAACCUAUGCCUACAGGAAAGCUGGUGAAGUGGAAGAUUUUGCUAAGCGAGUUUGACAUCGUGUAUGUUACUCAGAAGGCCAUCAAAGGACAAGCUUUAGCUGACCACCUUGUAGAAAAUCUUGUGGAUGAAGAAUACAAGCCACUUAUGACGUACUUCCCCGAUGAAGAAGUAUUGUUUGCUAGAGAAGACAUUUCAGAGGCAUAUUCUGGUUGGAGAAUGUUUUUUGACGGAGCCGCAAACUUCAAACGAGUUGGAGUUGGAGUAGUAUUAGUUUCAGAAUCUGGACAACAUUAUCCAAUCUCAGCGAAACUUCAGUUUUCAUGCACCAACAACAUGGCGGAAUAUGAGGCUUGUAUACUUGGGCUUAGAAUGGCCGUUGAUAUGAACAUCCAAGAGUUGUUGGUUAUAGGUGAUUCAGACUUGCUGAUUCAUCAAGUACAAGGCGAAUGGAAUACAAAGAACUCAAAAAUCCUACUGUACUUACAUUAUGUAAAGGAGCUGUGUAAGAAGUUUAUCAAAGUGGAUUUCAAGCAUGUUCCAAGAGUUCAAAAUGAGUUUGCAGAUGCUUUGGCAACUUUUUCUUCCAUGAUUCAACAUCCAGAUAAAAACUACAUAGACCCUAUCAAGGAGAAUGUGCAAGAUCAACCAGCUUAUUAUUUCCAUGUGGAUGAAGAGCCAGAUGGAGAACCAUGGUAUUAUGACAUUAAGAGGUAUCUCAAGACAAGGGAUUACCCUGAAGGAGCAACCAAUACCCAGAAGAGAACGCUUAGGAGAUUGGCAAAUCACUUUUUCCUAAACGGCGAAAUCCUAUAUAGGAGGACCCCAGAUUUAGGACUGUUGAGGUAUGUAGAUGCUAGGGAAGCAACCAAGCUGAUUAAAGAAAUACACGCAGGAACAUGUGAGCCUCACAUGGAUGGGUUAACUUUGGCAAAGAAAAUUCUGCGAGCAGGUUACUUUUGGAUGAUCAUGGAAAUAGAUUGCAUUCGUUUUGUACAGAAAUGUCAUCAGUGUCAGAUCCACAGUGAUUUGAUUCGAGUCCCACCAAAUGAACUCAAUGUGACGAGUUCUCCUUGGUCGUUUGCAGCUUGGGGCAUGGAUGUCAUUAGCCCUAUUGAGCUGGCCGCCUCGAAUGGACAUAGAUUUAUCUUGGUAGCUAUUGAUUACUUUACAAAGUAGGUAGAAGCCUCUUCUUACAAGUCAGUUACAAAGAAGGUAGUAGAAGAUUUUGUCCGCAACAACAUCGUUUGCUGAUUUGGAAUUCCUGAGUCAAUCAUUACAGAUAAUGAAGCCAAUCUCAAUAGUGACUUGAUGCAAGAAAUAUGUGAUAAGUUCAAGAUUACUCACCAAAAUUCCACUCCCUACCGACCUCAGAUGAAUGGAGCCGUUGAAGCAGCCAACAAGAACAUAAAGAAGAUAUUACGGAAGAUGAUUGAUAACUACAGGCACUGGCAUGAGAAACUACCAUUUGCUCUCCUUGGAUAUCGCACUACAGUCAGAACAUCAACUGGGGCAACGCCUUAUCUUCUGGUCUAUGGAACUGAAGCCGUAUUACCAGCGGAAGUUGAAAUACCAUCUUUGAGGGUCAUCCAAGAAGCCAAGCUGAGCAAUACCGGAUGGGUAAAGAAUCGGUACGAACAACUAAUGCUUAUUGACGAGAAGAGAAUGAAUGUUGUAUGCCAUGGUCAACUCCAUCAAACUAGGAUGACCAGAGACUUCAACAAGAAAGUGAAACCACGUCAGUUUAAACCGGGGCAAUUGGAUUUGAAGCGCAUAUUCCCGCACCAAAAUGAAGCUAAAGGAAAGUUUGCACCAAAUUGGCAAGGUCCAUACAUGGUGCAUUGAGUAUUGACUGGAGGAGCACUGAUUCUAGCAGAAAUGGAUGGAGAAGUGUGGCCCAAGCCCAUCAAUGCAGAUGCAGUCAAGAGAUACUACAUCUAGAGGCAUAUCUAGCAACCUCUUUCUUUUCUAUGUAAUGCUUCAUAAUGUAAAUGAACUAUGUUUGACCUGAUUCCCGUUUAAGAGGGGAUACGUAGGCAUCCCUGUGGGUUUGGUCUCAUCAUAAUAAAAAUUCAAUAUUUGCCCCCAAAUUGGAAACUGGGGCAGCUUUCGAAGGCGUCGUCAUGAGGAGGCAUCAUUCAUCGACAAAGGAUGGUCACACAAGACGAAUAAUGGGAUUCCAGAUGAGGACGUUCACUUUGUUUCACGAGCAUGUCACAAUACAGAAUUCGGCAAUAACUUUAUUUUAUAAAAUUAUGCAUAUUUUAUUUAUUAAAAUAGGAUUUUUUAUCAAAAUUUCUUAACUAUUCGUUCGCCAAGAUUCAGUGUUGGGUGGAGGUUACAAGUCCAAACAAAGUGGGAAGAACAAGAUUAUCAAAGACCAGGGCAUCAAAGUCAACACGGAUCAACCUUCCCUCCCCCCUCCCAAACUCAUAAUUUUUUCUUUGAGUGCAGAUUUUCAAGAUAGAGGAAGCAAAAGAAUCAAUAACGAAUAUAAAUAUCAAGAGCCUUCGUCAAGUGGUUUGAAUUUUGUAUAGUAUUUUAUAGAAAAUUACACCUUUUGAAUGAUGAUGAUCUUUAAAAUCCAAGUUUGAGAUUUUUCUAAUGAUGGUUUUGGAAUCUUACAAUAUUUUUUAAUACAUUGAUUGUCAUUACUUUUCAGCUACUAAUUUUUUUAUAAAUACAAACUACAUCGCACACGGUUUUAAACAUAUUGCACAUUGACUUUUAAAUGUACUGCACCAUUGCUUUCAAAUACACUGCACCAUUGCUUUCAAAAGCACCACACAAAUGCUUUCAAAUGCAUUGCACCAUUGUUUUCGAAUGCACCAUUGCCUACAAAAUGCAUAAUAUAAAUGCUUUCAAAUGCACUGCACUUUUGCUUUCAAAGGCACUGCAAAUGCACUGCACAAAUGCUUUAAAAAGUACCAUAUUAUUGCUUGCAAAUGCACGAUGCAAAUGCUUUCAACUACACUGCACCAUUACUUUUAAAUGCACCAUACAAUUGCCUUGCAAAUGCACCACAAAUAUUUUUUAUUACCUUAAAUCAUUUGGCUUGGAAAGCCUCAUCAGUCAUUUGGCUUAAACACCUCGAUUACUGCAUCAUUUGACUUAAAUGCCUCAUUUUCAUCAAUCAUUGGCUUAAAUGCCUCAUUUUUAUCAAUCAUACAUAAGUCAUCGCUGAAAGGCACCAUUUACAUGAAUCAUUGGCUCAAAGACUCAUUUCAUUAGUCAUGAUCAAAGAAUUAUUUUUAACAUACCUGGCUUAUUUUAUGAUAAAUUAACUGCUUAAAGGUGUCAUUUUAAUGAAAUUAUUGUUAUGACUUAUUGCAUUUUUAUAUCUCGUUUACUAACAAUUUUACCUAGCCUGUUGAGUUUAGCAGGAAAUUUAUCACAACAUGGAACUCUAUCUAACCAGCGAACUAGGGCAGUUUGCUGGGGAGGAAACCAGACUCACCAGCAAAAGUCAAAGGUCUACUUUCGGAUUCCGUUCAGCUUGACUAUCAAAAUCUUAGCCAAAAUCCUUAUUUCGACACAUUUUCUUUCAAUCAUGAUCCCCAGUGUCUGACACCUUGUGUCUCCACAAUUCGACACUGGGGCAGCAUUUUAGGAUCCGCAUCAAUCAUUAAGUCCUACUCCGUAGCACCAUCAGUCUGGAAUUACAUAUGGCUUGAUUCUCGUGAAACCCGAGAUAUGUAGGCAACUCGAAACCAGAGUUCGGCCGCAAUCAUUUUUUUAUCUCUCUUUUGACAAAUUUCAACCUCACUGGUCGGGACAAAAUUGGCUACUACAUCAAUUUCUUUGCCCGAAAACUNNNNNNNNNNNNNNNNNNNNNNNNNCAUCACCACCUUUCAGCAGCCCAUCACUUCUCAAUAGCCCAAUAACAGAUCCAACAACCCAACUUUUCCACAACCUAAAUCUCCUAACCUCUCUCUAUCUCCCUCAAAACAGACGCCCCACUCCCUUCUCCAUUUUCAGAAAACUUCCAAGCUCUUAUAUCUUUCAAGUAGAGGAAUGACGCACCAUUUUUGUGCAAAAAGGUCUCUCUACUCUCAUUAAGUAUCUAAAUAUUCCAAAGGAUAUUCCUUUUACUCUUUUUUGUUUGUGCUUGACAACUUCGAAAUCAAAUUGAAACACACCAUAGCCUCGCCAAUUCGGGUAAGGACUGGAACAAAUCACGCCUUUUUGACCAAAUCACGUGAUGUCUGCAAAGUCCGUCCAAGAAAGAUCAACGAUCAAAUUUAAAACAUUCAUUUUGAAUGAAAAAUAAAAAAUCAAGAAUCCUGCCCAACUAACCCUAGAGAGCCCUAAUUCAUCUCCUAUAAAUACCAAACUUGGUGGAGAUUUUCAGCAACUUUUGAACCCACAAUCUUUUUUACAUUCUUCUCCGAGCCUCCUUCUCUGAUUUCUUACUCAUUGGAGCCACGCUUUAAGGGCUCGUUUUGGUCACCCCUACUGGUCUCGUUUAACCGAACUAGAUGUAGCGGCGUAAUUGUUUUGGAAUUUGACGAUCGUUUGAGGUUGCAGAGUAGAAGCCGGAGAUAGUAGACCUUGACGCGACCCCAGUUCCUGCACCGCAAAAGGUCAAUUUUUCCUUCUAAGUUUUAGUCGCUCUUUAUUUUUAUUAAGUAUAAAAUCGUUGUUUUAUUAUCCAGUAGAAUCAUGUGCUAGUCCCCUUUUGUUCUGUUAUAGAAGUUCAUGGUUCAGUUGCUUUAUAUGUGUAAAUCAUGUAUACAGAAAUUUGUUUGGUUCACCCAUGAAACAUAUUCAUAAGAUGCCGCUAUUUUCAUACUAAUUAGGAAUUAAAAAAGUUUCACGUUAAAACUUAAUCUCAAUAACUAGUUUAAUCCCUAUCAAUCUCUGUCCGAUUCAAUAUCAUUAAAAGAGGAGUAGAUCCGAAGCCUUAAGAGCACCAGGGUCACUGUUCCAAUAAAAGUUAGAUCUAAACUUGCUAUUCUGUAUUUAUUAGUUUAAGUAACAUAUUAGAAAUCAUGAUUUAGAGUUUAUUUGUGUGUAGACAUUAUGUCUUUAAGGAAAUUAGUUUUUGGGCGUGAGGUAUUUGCAUUAUGACUGAUAAUGUUCCAUAAAAAUGCUAGUUGUUUUUUGUGUUAAAAGUUACCAUGUGUUUUAUCAUUUAUAAAUGUUGUAGAAGUUUUAUCGUGUUUUUUUCUUUCUAUUUUUUAGUUCUUAUGCAGCAGAGAUUCAUGCCUUAAAUUCUACCAGAAUCAUGACUAUAGUAACCUAUUGCCUUGCAUAGAUAUGUGGAAAGGCAACAUGCUCUCUAGCUGUUAGGAUUCAUUACAAGUUUGAACCUUUAGAUGGAAGCCAUGUUCAUCUACUGUGUGUAUAUAAAAAAUAUCUCAUUUUAGUUCGUGAUUAAAAACUAUUUCCUAAAAAAAAACCUUAUUUUAACCAUAGAUUGAUUUUGCGUACAUUUUGAGAAAUCAUAUUUUCAAGAAUCCAUAUAGAUAUUCAUAUAGACUAUUAAAGUAUCUGUUAGAAUCCAUGCUAAUAGACAAACUGUAGCUUCAUAUGAUAUUAUGUUAUGAUUACAUGUGAUUUAUGAUCUUGUCAAAUGACUGGUUUAUGUGGUAGAAUAACAUUAAGUCUUGUUAAGCAUUUGUCUUAUUUGAGGUAGUGUUAGUUUAAGUUAGAAAGAAAACCUUCAUCUAUUUUGUUGUAUAACUUGUCUAAUAGUUUAUUGUUUACCAGAAGUAUAUUCUAAAACUCUAACCUGUGUCACUUUAAUCACCUGGAUGUAAAUAUUUAUAUAGGUUUAUUAGGAAUUUACUGUUGAAAACCUUUUCUCUAAGGCUUGAUGCUAAAAGUUUUGUUUGGAAUUCUAUUGUCUAAUAUAAAAGAAGCCUACAAGCCAAAAAGAGUUUUGACAAUAUGAAAGCUAAUUUGGGUUUAAUAAAAGAUUUUCUAUGAUUAUUCUACUCAUUUCGAACACUAUAAGUUUAAGACUAUUUUUACUAAUCUUUAUUCUCUAUUUUUUCUUUGCAUGUACACUUCGGAGCGACCCGGAGUCUUAACACAAGACUCUUCCUACCCGCAUAGAGUUAUCACAAACUAUCUUCUUUAAUCACAUUAGACAAGAAGAAAACAAGCAAAUUUGCUUGGGGUCGCCUAUGACGGCUUUCAUUAUUCUUUACUUACUUUGUCUGAAUUUCGUUAGUUUAUGUGAUUUGGUUUUGUGUGGAGUUUAUUUUAUUAUUGAUGAUUAAUUUUAUCAUGUAAAUUUAUAACCAUGAUUCUGGCCAAAUAUCUUACUAAUCAAAAAACUUCUAAGAAUUCAAUCACUUGGAAUAUUGGUACGUUCUCUAGAGACUUAAAGAAGGCAACGAAACUUUCUUAUGCUUGACAACGUGGCUUUUGAAUUGAGUUUUGCAGAUUUUUUUUCUUUAAAUAAAUAAUUUCAACAACUUCUUGACCUUAGUAAAGUUUGAUGACAAACAAAAAAUAAUUUUCCUUUUAAUGCGGUUAGUGACAGGUUUUUUAAAAAAAUGGUUGUUUGCUUCCAAAGUUAUAUAUGCACAUAUUAAUUAGCUUUUAACUUCUUUUGUUUUUUUACUUAAUAAUAUUUUCAAGCAUAAGCUACUCAAUUAUAAGUUAUUGUCUUGUAAUACCUUAAAUAUUUUCGAUAAAUUAUUUAAUACUUAUUAACCUAAGUUCGGCCGGUUAACCAUUAUUAACGGAUUUUAAAAAAUGUUUUAAAACCUUCCUUUUAAAAUAUUUAAAACCCUUAUUUAGAAUCUUUAGGUUAAGACCAUAUGACAACGCUUGACUUAAGCUUUAAAAAUUGGUGUCCUAAUUCACCUUAGAAUUAAUUAGGUGUCGACUCUUUUAAAAAUUAAUUCAACCUCAGAAUCGCUAAUAUGUUAUACUGUAAUUUGACACGUGUUAAAAUGGGGUAUAAUAAGCGUUAUGAUGCUUGGGCUGUAGGAGCCCCCCCGGAGUCUGUACACCCCUAGUAAACGUAGUCGACUAUAAACUAUGGAUCGGGUUGCACGCCGCAUCGGUUAUUAUGAUUAUUACUAUUAUGAAGUGUAUUUGAACCUGAGUGCUGAGUGUGAGCACUAAGUGGCGAGAGCUGAGUCACGAGUGACUGAGAGGCUUACCCGAGAGGCUAUAUUUAUGAGUGAUACCUUGUCCGAGGAGCCCAUUUAUGAUAUUUUUGCUGAUUUCACUCUUCUUUUAUAAUGAGCCUCUGUUAAAAACUACUAAGUAAAUGAUUUCAAAGUAUUUCAAUUGAAACUGAAGCUUUAUGAAGAAACUGGAUUUGAAACUGUCGAGUCUAACUUGAUAUCAUGUUGUUUACUCUUUUAUAUAAUUUUUAACUGCUCGUCACUGCUUUCAGACCUUAUUUACUUUAGUUACUUACUGAGUUGGCGUACUCACAUUACUCCCUGCACCUUGUGUGUAGAUCCAGGUGCCCGAGCGGCAGAGUGAGGGUCCUCAGCAUUGUCAGAGUUUGCCGGAGACUGCUAGGUAGCUGCAUGGCGUCCGCAGCCCUGCUUUCUUCCUUCUUAUCCUUGUUUUCCCCGCAUUUUAGACUUGUUAUGUAUUAGACAGUCGGAUUUGUGUAUUUAGAGGCUCGAAACUCGUGACACCAGAUGUUUGGGCUAUGUUGGUUUAAUGUUUUACUGAUUUUCGCACAUUUUAGCUGUUUUAUACAUUUCUUAUGAGAAUUUGAGAUUUAAUCAGUGUUAGAAAAUGAUUUUAUAAAAGAAAUUUAUUG
RNAcentral lists this long non-coding RNA (17859 nucleotides) under Nicotiana tabacum (common tobacco). RNAcentral describes it as "long non-coding RNA (NTAB_LNC007285)". Lineage: Eukaryota; Viridiplantae; Streptophyta; Magnoliopsida; Solanales; Solanaceae. The record is from RNAcentral.